Molecule: ribosomal RNA, 245 nt
Filed under: uncultured bacterium
Lineage: Bacteria
Description: partial 16S ribosomal RNA
Rfam family: Bacterial small subunit ribosomal RNA
Source: RNAcentral
UACAGAGGGUGCAAGCGUUGUUCGGAAUCAUUGGUCGUAAAGCGCGUGUAGGCGGGGCAUUAUGUCGGAUGUGAAAGCCCUUGGCUUAACCAAGGAAUUGCAUCCGAAACUGGUGCUCUUGAGUACGGGAGAGGGAAGCGGAAUUCCCAGUGUAGAGGUGAAAUUCGUAGAUAUUGGGAGGAACACCGGUGGCGAAGGCGGCUUCCUGGACCGAUACUGACGCUGAGACGCGAAAGCGUGGGGAG